This is an RNA transcript of Pelobates fuscus (common spadefoot toad), 2797 nucleotides long. It is a transcript of the gene named RNA binding protein, mRNA processing factor, with no coding region annotated. NCBI's taxonomy places the organism in Eukaryota, Metazoa, Chordata, Amphibia, Anura, Pelobatidae. The transcript has 9 exons. The record is from RefSeq and is a predicted model, not a curated record.
CAAAUACUAAUUCUAACCCUAAUCACCAGCAGUCUGCAAACAUUUCCCCUCUCCUCCCUUUCCUCUUCACUCAUGCUUUCCUCCUUAUCACUCUCUCAAGUAGUUCCUCAUUUCACUUUGAGAAAAAGCUCUUUAACAUUUGGAUCUAAAGGAUAUACAUGCUCCCCCUUCCCUUUAACCAACUAGUAGCCUGAUUUCUAAGUUUGUGCAGUAUUAUACUUGUAUUCCUCCAAUAUAACGUGUGCUAGAAACGGGUCCACUGUGCUCCAACUGCAAGCUCUACAAUGAACAGCAGCCUAGCAGAAAAGGAGUGCUCCCAGGAUGACAUCAGCCUACCAGAAGAGGAGGUGAGGACGUUAUUUGUCAGUGGGCUGCCUUUAGAUAUCAAACCUAGAGAACUCUACUUAUUAUUCAGACCAUUUAAGGGCUAUGAAGGUUCCUUAAUAAAGCUCACAUCAAAGCAGCCUGUAGGGUUUGUCAGUUUUGACAGUCGGUCAGAAGCAGAAGCAGCCAAGAACGCAUUAAAUGGAAUUCGUUUUGAUCCAGAAAUUCCUCAGACGUUACGGCUGGAGUUUGCUAAAGCAAACACAAAAAUGGCCAAGAGUAAGCUUGUCGGCACCCCAAACCCCAGCACACCUCAACUGAACAGCGUACCUCACUUUAUCUCCAGAGAUCAAUAUGAACUCACAGUGCCUGCACUUUAUCCAGGUUCGCUGGAUCCCACCCUCAGAUGCUACUUCUCAGGGAUGGAAGUCCCGCCAGUUCUGCUGAGUAAUGUAUACCAGGUGUGUGAUGGUGGCUACAGUCUGUCUUGUGGGUAUUGAUGUAUUCUUCCUUGUUGGCCACUGAAGUCUCAGGCUAUAUAUCACAACAACAGUGUGCUGGCUUGAAAACCAUCAUCAUUGUGAUUCCUCCAAGACUUUGACCCAGCCUCUAUCACACAUCUGCCUUCCAAAAAAACAAAAAAAACAACAACAAAAAAAACCCCCAAGUGAACAUCUUUUUCUUUGACACUGUAAAGAACUGCAAUGUGCCUUAUGUGAAUUCUUGGCUUCCCAUGCAUUGCAAUCUAGUUUAUGCUUUCAAUCCAAAGCAAAACAACUGACGGCAUAACCACUUAUAGCAAGCAAUGUAUGACCCAAGCAACCUUACACUGUGUUCAGACACACUAGUUUAUAUAAUAAGAUAUAUCUAUUUUUGUUUGACUUUUUAAGCUGCAUGUCAUACGCAUGAUUUGCGAUAUUUCAAACCUAAAACUCCCUAAACGAGCUGUAUUAUAAGAUAUGAAUUUUGUGACCAUACUAUUUUUGUUAAAGCAAGCUGUAUAUAUACUGAAUACACUUUGGUGUGCUUAUGCAGUAUUACAUAGUGUUUAUACCAAUACAUAUAAAGAGGGUGCAGGUUAAACCGGAUUAGGAAAAAAGAUUUUUCUAUCAUUGGAAUGUAUGAAGCAUUUUGUAAUUUAGGAAUAUUUUGAAUGGGUAUAUAUCUUGUGUAUUGGUUAGUCUGCUAAACGGUUUUAUUAAUAUUUUUGUUAAUGCAUUUCUGAAGGGAAUUUAAAAUUUCAGGCCAAAAUUUCCAAGUUGAAGAAAUCAAUCAACGUGACUCUUAAGACCUAAGGUUUUUUUGUUUUGUUUUUAUUACUUUGUCAACAACUUUGUCCACAAUUCCUCGUUUAGUGAAAUUCUGAACUGUCAUCAGUGUCCAAAUGUCAAACAUAUUUUUUCGCAUAUGCAGUUGAUGGAUUGUCAUUAACAUCUUAUCUGUCUAUGUAUGUGUCGAUGUGCUGGAGCAUAAGCUGCAUGUCAGCAUGACACUCAAACAAACUUAAAAUGCAGUAAAAUACAAUUCCGUCCUUCUAAAUGUCUGUAGAGAGAGAGUGAGCUGUGAAUUGCAUAGUUGCCUUCUGUACCAAAUUUGUAAUCCUGUCUAGGCAAAAAUUGGCACGAUUGUAGGUAAAAUAUGCCGUAGGCUGCCUAACCUUUGUCUACAGUAGAGUUUUAUUUUUAAAAAUGAGCAUACAAAAUUAAGCCCUGUCCUCAAACUCACACUAUAGUACACAUCAGCCCCAAUACAUACCAUAAAAAACAAAAAUGGUUACUUGCGCACUUAACAAAAUCCCUAUGUCCAUUUAAAUAACUGGAGUGUUUUUUUUUUUUAUCACUCCAGGGGUCAUUAAAGUGUAAGCUCGCCUGCCACAUCAGGGCAAAACCUCUUAGUUGAGUCCUACACUAACUUUUUUUAGAUUUUUAGCUUUGAGUGGCACAGAGUACUGAAGGUAUACAGUGGAACCUCGAAACUCCAACUUAAUCCGUUCCAGAAAGCUGUUCGAGUUCCGAUUUGUUAGAGAACCGAAUAAACAUUUCCCAUAAGAAUUUAUGUAAAUUUGAUUAAUCCUUUCCAGACCCCCCAAAUUACAACAUUUUAACACAAAUGUUACAGUUUAAUAAUACCUUACAUGCAUAAAAUCAUAUAGAAAAAAAAUAAUGAACACAAUGUACAGUAAAUGAAAAGAAAAUGUGACUUCACUUUACCUGUAAUGAUGAGAGUUGAUGGUGUAAGUGGAAAGGAGAAGAGAUAUUGUUUGGAUGAGGAUAAGUAACUGUUCUUCUGGAAUUUAAAAUGUGUCUAAAGUGAGACACAUUUUAUAAUUAAACAUGUUUGAUGCAUGAUUUGUUUGGGUACUGAGGAUCGUUUGUGUACGGAGACAUUUUUUUUCUCAAAAUAUUUGUUCAACUACCGAAUUGUUCAGAUAAGGGGCCAUUCGAGUGACGAGGUUUCACUGUACUUAUAAAAA